RNAcentral lists this ribosomal RNA (482 nucleotides) under uncultured bacterium. RNAcentral describes it as "partial 16S ribosomal RNA". It matches the Rfam family "Bacterial small subunit ribosomal RNA", at positions 30 to 507 of the family's 1533-position model. The record is from RNAcentral.
AUUGAACGCUGGCGGCAUGCCUUACACAUGCAAAUCGAACGGUAACGGGCCUUCGGGUGCCGACGAGUGGCGAACGGGGGAGUAAUACAUCGGAACGUGCCCGAUCGAGGGGGAUAACGAGGCGAAAGCUUUGCGAAUACCGCAAACGAUCUACGGAGGACAGCAGGGGACCGCAAGGCCUUGCGCGGACGGAGCGGCCGAUGGCAGAUUAGGUAGUUGGUGGGGUAAAAGCUUACCAAGCCGACGAUCUGUAGCUGGUCUGAGAGGAUGAUCAGCCACACUGGGACUGAGACACGGCCCAGACUCCUACGGGAGGCAGCAGUGGGGAAUUUUGGACAAUGGGCGCAAGCCUGAUCCAGCCAUGCCGCGUGCAGGAUGAAGGCCUUCGGGUUGUAAACUGAUUUUGUACGGAACGAAAAGCCUUCUUUUAAUACAGGAGGGUCAUGACGGUACCGUAAGAAUAAGCACCGGCUAACUACGUG